CGGAUUCGUCGGCCGGUUACGUCACAGCGCCGCGACUCGGCCUGUCCCAAUUCGAAGACUCCUUCAAAUGCGGUCGACGAAUGCGGCCUUCUUUUCGCCUGAAUGAAGGAUGGGUCGGGUGUAUCCUUCAAUAGGUAGCAUUUCCCAAGAUGCCUUGCGGGCCGGCCGGCAGAAAAACUUAAAAACAAUGGCGGACAGUGAAGCGGGAGCUGUCGGAGAGGAUUGCGCUUAUAAAUGACCAAAAGAGAAAACCAGGGAAUUUAUUAAGCUUAGGGCGGAGAUGGACCACAUGAUCACCGGAGCAAAGUAUUCGGCGGCUGUGGCAUGGAGACUAUUCUGGAGAAAAUGGGCAUCCAGGGGAAGGUGCCAGCGAUGAGCUUCUGGAGCUGAUCUGGGAGGACAUGAGGCUGCAGAGCAGCAGAGAGCACAGGAGAGAAGGAAGAACUUUGACAGCUUUUUACUUUGCUAGAAAAAAAUGGUUAAUGAAGAUUAAACAUGUACAUGUAAAAGAAAUAUCUAACUAAAAUCAGUUCUGCAUUAAACUCUUGAAUUUUA
Long non-coding RNA from Nothobranchius furzeri (turquoise killifish), 555 nucleotides. RefSeq lists it as uncharacterized. The record is from RefSeq and is a predicted model, not a curated record. Lineage: Eukaryota; Metazoa; Chordata; Actinopteri; Cyprinodontiformes; Nothobranchiidae.